Molecule: long non-coding RNA, 985 nt
Filed under: Anas platyrhynchos platyrhynchos (common mallard)
Lineage: Eukaryota; Metazoa; Chordata; Aves; Anseriformes; Anatidae
Description: lncRNA (ENSAPLG00000025239.1)
Source: RNAcentral
AAAAAAACAGUACAUCAUGGUUAAAUAAAACUGUACCCUGGAUAACCCUGAUUUCCAUAUGCAGAUUUAUCUGCACUGACAGCCCCCUCUCCCUCUCUUAGUCUUUCUAUUUCCUCUCUCUCCCUCUCCUUCUCUCUCUCUCCCUCAUUCUCUUUCUCCCUCUUUCUCUCCUUCUCUCUCUGUCUUUUUGUCUCCCCUUAUGUCUAUUGCAUUGUGCCUGAAUAAUUUUCAGGGAUUUUUUUUUUUUUUUCUCUCUUGCACGCACAUGCUAAAAGAACUAGACAAAGAUGCAAGGUGUUUGCUGCAGUCCCUGUCUCUAGGAAAAAAUAAAACAACAAGAAAGCUCAUGAUUGCAAUGCCACCUUUUCUUUUCUUUCUUUCCUUUUUUUUUUUUCUUUUCUACUCAUGCUCGGUGAUUAAACUUCCCCAGGAUGAAAAAGGAGCUGGAAUUGAAAUAGGGCUGAGGAAAAGACCAUUGCAGCAGCUGCAGUCAGUGGUGUCUACUGCCAGAUGUGCUAAGCAGGCACCGUGUGGGAGAAAAUCAACAUGCUGGAUGUUGAAUUGGACUUUCCUCCUUUCUAGGAUGAAAGGAUGUUAUCUAUCCCGUGCCAAGAGGGAGCUGAGAGCAAUGAACAUAAGGCUGUUACUAUCAGCACUGGUGUAUUUGCAGCGAUGCCUAUCAACAUCCACCAGAGAGCAGGGCAGCUCCAAAACCCACAUCUUUCAUGCUGUGGAAAUUGAUGGAGACAGCAACACAGCCAGCUUCUUGGCCAAACAACAUGGAAUGCAGUUCAUUUCAAAGCAAGCUAUUUUCAUGGAUAUCUAAGCCGACAUCUCUUCAUCAUUUAAGACUGGAGUUUUCUUGUAUCCAAACUGACAGAUUUUCAAAACUUCGGGAUUGGUCUCAAGUGGUCCUGGAGACAUUCUCUCCACAGUUUCCUUUUUCGUCUAUGUAAUUACAUGGUCCAGACUAUUUAUUGUGAAA